CCAACGGCCCUCUUUAGGGCCACAAAUAUCUUAAUCCUGAGUUAA
Molecule: non-coding RNA, 45 nt
Organism: Caenorhabditis elegans
Lineage: Eukaryota; Metazoa; Nematoda; Chromadorea; Rhabditida; Rhabditidae
Source: Rfam